UAAGACGAAUAUGAGGAGGAGUUUCUUCUCAGAGGGUUGUGAAUCUGUGGAAUUCUUUACCACAGAGCUGUCGAGGUUGGCUCAUUAAGUAUAUCCAAAACUGAGGUAGACAUUUUUAAUCAGUAUGAGAAGCAUCGGAUUUUUGGGAAAAGGAAUGACUUGGAAGGAAGUGGGGUUUUCCAGCUGUUGAACUCACGCAGGAACCUUUCUCCUUUCAAUGUCUAUGUAUACAAGUGACGGCGUGGAAACGGGAGUUUCAAUAGGAGUUUCACGCAGUUCUGGGCGGGCUACAGAGCAGUUUGUCUUCCUGGUUGCACAGAGUUGGGAUACGUUGUAUCGUAUUAAGACUGAACAAAAUUGAGACA
Molecule: long non-coding RNA, 365 nt
Organism: Rhincodon typus (whale shark)
Lineage: Eukaryota; Metazoa; Chordata; Chondrichthyes; Orectolobiformes; Rhincodontidae
Exons: 3
Source: RefSeq, a predicted model, not a curated record